RNAcentral lists this ribosomal RNA (421 nucleotides) under uncultured bacterium. RNAcentral's name for it is "bacterial SSU rRNA". It matches the Rfam family "Bacterial small subunit ribosomal RNA", at positions 355 to 774 of the family's 1533-position model. The record is from RNAcentral.
UAAGGAAUAUUGGUCAAUGGACGAGAGUCUGAACCAGCCAUGCCGCGUGAAGGAUGAAGGUCCUCUGGAUUGUAAACUUCUUUUAUCUGGGACGAAAACGGGAUUUUUAUCUCAAUUGACGGUACCAGAGGAAUAAGCACCGGCUAACUCCGUGCCAGCAGCCGCGGUAAUACGGAGGGUGCGAGCGUUAUCCGGAUUUACUGGGUUUAAAGGGUGCGUAGGUGGGCUUAUAAGUCAGUGGUGAAAUCUUCCGGCUUAACCGGGAAACUGCCGUUGAUACUAUUUGUCUUGAAUAUUGCGGAGGUAAGCGGAAUAUGUCAUGUAGCGGUGAAAUGCAUAGAUAUGACAUGGAACACCAAUUGCGAAGGCAGCUUACUACACAAUGAUUGACGCUGAUGCACGAAAGCGUGGGGAGCGAACA